Non-coding RNA from Aegilops tauschii subsp. strangulata, 3122 nucleotides. The record is from RefSeq and is a predicted model, not a curated record. NCBI's taxonomy places the organism in Eukaryota, Viridiplantae, Streptophyta, Magnoliopsida, Poales, Poaceae.
CUCGCCCCCCACCCCUUCUUGUUUGGCUGGUGAUACGUUCUGAGUCCUAACCUGGAUUGGAUCAGGUAGGGGGCCACUUAGCAUUAACGUGGUGAUAACUCGAUCGCACUAGCACUAAUUUGGGUAUUGUUGUUUAUGGGGAUUGAAUUAGUGUUGCUUGUACCAGUGGGCCGUGCUGUGGAAUUUACUCAGCACGGAGCAUUGUAUCUGCCGAAUUGUUUCUAUGUUAUUUGAAUGACUGCAAUGCCUCUGCCUCGCAUGGGGCAGCUUCAUGGAUGACUAGCCUAACUUUUAAUGGCUGACCCCAAAAAGGAAAACAGUGCCCUGCAAGCACAUGAAUGUUGGUAUUGGAUACAACUAUUAUGGUGUUAUCUAUCAUAGUUACUUAACAAUCUACCCUAGAAAUAGGCAGCUCAGUAGUUUCAGCAUGCAUCGUGGCUCGUGGUGUGGUUUAUACUAUAAGAUGUUAGAUUCCAUAGGCAGUAGGUGACAUAAUAAUAAUGAGUUAAUAGUACCUUCUCUUCACGAAAUUUAUCUGGUUAGUUUUGCCAUGCCAAUUAUGAGUUGCUAGAGGUAAUCUUGGGAGUUGUGAUUGAGGUUAAGGGAAGAUUACAAACUAUUUAUAGGACAGACUAAUUUAGGCAUCCACUGCUGGUUUCUGAAGCACAUUUUUGGUAGGGGUGAACUUCACCCCUUCAGUUUCCUGUACCGAACGUAUUGGUUUAUGUGCUCGUUGGUGACUGUUCAAACAAUCUUCCCCGUUAUUUGUUGAUGAGGUGCUAAUUUGGCAAGCAUUGGGAGUUGCGACUGUCAGCUGUUGACGCUAACAUGUUGUGUUGCACGCUGACCUUCCACUCUCUUUUUCAUAAGCAGGCUCUUGUAGAAACAUACUUAACCCCCUGUUAGAUACUCGUAAUUUCUUGCCCGCUAGGUUGAUUUAAACUCCUCAAAAAAAUUGAGGGUGCUGCUCAGGAAAAAGAAAGAACUAGUGGAGAUGUUUUGGGUAAUUUUCUAAUCACAUUUUGCUUUAAAUUUUGUUUACUGGUAUGUCAAUUACUCUACCCUGAAGUGACAUUUCUGACAGAGGUGGUAUUUGAACAUCAGUACAUUGCCAGAUUAUAACUUAUUUUAUCAUAGGAAUUUAUGGAAGCAAAACAAUUUUCUUGAACUUCCUUAGUCAUCAUCUUAUACCAAACUAAAGGCGUAUUAGUUUUUUCAACCUAAGGCUUGUGGUGGCUCAUGGCUUGUGCUUUAAAACUCAAUAAAUUCAGUUUGGUGAUGCUGUUGUGAAAUCAUUGCGGCACAGACGCUUUUGUCCUGUUUGAUAAAAUGAAUGGAAACUUAAUUAUUAAGUACUUCAACAAACACAUGGAUUGAUUAUGUUGAUAACACCAUAGUUUCAUAGUUUUCAGAAUAUUUUCUCACCUGGACCAACUCAAAGCCUGAAAUGCUGACCAUCUUUGUCCUAUUUAAAACGGUCCUAGCAUUUCAUAUUCUACUGUCUAUUGGUCAGGCUGCUGACUCCUUCGGCUGAAGUAGUUCAUUGGGCCUAUUUUUGGGCAAAAAUCAACCACAAUUAUGUAUCUCUAAAGUAAAAUCCGCAUAAUUGCACUGCAAAUAUGAUCUGCUUUCAGUAACUGUAAUAUGUACAGCUAAACCUUUAAAAUGUAGCGCUGUGUUUGGAUGUCUGUAUUGAAGGCCUUCAUAUUGAAUUGGUUUCAAUUUCAAUUCAGGGAGGAAACUGUAAUGGACAUGAAUACGAGUUCACAUGUUUGGAUGCUCAUGGAAUUGGGCCUUGGAAUCUCAAUGAGUUUUCAAUACCAAAUCAUGUUCGGAUGACAAACUAUGGAAUUGCUUAUGCUUUGUGCUUUAUGCAUCAAAUCAAAAUCUAUACAAUGUGACCUGCAAAAGAUGAAUCUGUGGUUAGUACAUUCAUGUGCAUGGAGAGCAGGGGAAGAAUAGGAACAGGGGAAGAAUGGGAAAAGGGGAAGAGGAGGAACUUAGAAGGGGCUGCCUGGGCAAGUAAAGAAGAGAAACAGGGGGAUCCGGGGAAGGGGGAAGAAGAUGGAAGAGGAAGUGGAAGAAAAGAAAAUGGCAGAAAAGAAGUGGAAGAAGAAGAUGGGCAGGAUGGGGGGCGGGGGGGGGUUUCACCGACCAGCGGGAUGGAGGGCGCCGGGCAGCUAGAUGCAGGGGGAAACGUGCGGCAGUUGCGCGGGCUUGAAGGUCCGCCGCCACCGGACAGGGGAGGAGGGGCAGGGACCGGGGAUCCAUACCUGCGUCGCCGCCUCCUCAAGCUUCCGUCUCAAGCGGGGAGGAAAGGGCAGGUCUCACGUGGGGACGAAAGGGGCAGGCCGCCGCUGCCUCCUGAAGCGUUGCGUUUUGGGGGAUCAGCUCAAUUCAACCCAAAUCGGAGCCCCAGACCUCUGUAUUGCGGGAUGGCUACGCUAGUGGACGCGAUUUCCACACUGUAUUGGGCUCGUUUCGGUCCGCUCGUUUCUGUAAACAUCCGAAAGCCUGAAUUGGCAAGUAGCCAAUACCAAAUCCAAUACAAAGGCUCUAAUUCAGACAUCCGAACACAGUGUAGAUAUAUUUGUUAGCUAUAGUGCUAUAGCAAUUCUAAAAAUCUAUACCGAUCUUUUAAAUAUUUCCCAAAAUGAGCUUUAGUACUUGAGUUAUUCUCUGGAAACUUUGUCGUGGGCUAUAUCCGUUUCCUAGAGGAAAUUCUAUUUCCCUGCAACCCUGCCGCCACGGGUGUAAGCUGUUCAUCCAAAAUUCCGAAUAGAUGGUUUGUACUUGACAGCCAUCCUUGAAUGUAUUAUACAAAUAAGCAUCAAUAUAUGCUUGUGGCAUACUUCCCCCGAUCCAAAAUUAUGUCCUUUAGGAUAUUGUAAGUCUUCAAGCUAGUACUUCGACCAUCAGUUUUUGUGCGAAUAUGUUGCCUCACAUUAAAGUAAUUAUACAUUAUAAAAGUAUAUUUCAUGAUAGAUCUUGUAAUAUCAAUUUGAUGUUUAAUUUAAUAUACUAAGUAAAUCUUACCGGGCGGCAGGCCUGGUUAGCAAUCAUAAAUCUUCUCUAAUAGACAGUCAAACUUAUAAAUGUAUAAAUGUUUGACUAACGAAAAA